UUUUUUAUGUUAAUAUUUAAUAAAAAAAUUAAUAAUUUGGAUAUCCAAAAACUGAUCAAAAUCAAACCGCACAAAAUUGGAUCAGAUUUUUUUUAAUUAGUCAUUUAAAACUGAACCAAACCGCUUGUAAUUUUAACUUUAGAUCGGAUGACUUUUUGUCUCAAAACCGAUCCAAAUCGAACCGCGAGCACUCUUCCAAUCAAUAAUUAACGGCCAAAAUUUAAAACUGCGAACUUAUUUACCGCAGCAAAUCGCAAUCCCUAUUUAGGAAUAGUGUCACACCAAUGAGAGUCUUGAAUUUGCAAUCCAAAAAUAGCAAUACCAUCAAUACACUAAUUGCAUUCCCUAUGAAUAUGCAUGGUAAUGAAAAAACAUAGGCUUUGCAAGCUCAACAUAAUUUAACCAAAAAUUACGAUGGAUCCGAUCCCCCGCAACUACAUUUGGGAGAGAACUGAAAUCACUUGAUGUCAGAACUCGUCCCGAACUCUGGACUACUAGGACCCCUUUCUCCUAGGAACCAAUUUUUUAUAUUGAAAAUACAUCACAAAUGCCGAACAAAAGUAUAAUAAUAAUUGGCGCUAGCUAGCUCAAACCAAUUUAAAACACCUAAGCAACUAGACAUAAAUUAAUGCCACUUGAAGAAAUUUUAGAUUAAAAUAAAAUAAAACAUGACACACAAAUGAUUAUAAGGGGUAUAUACUCCUGAAUCAGAGAAACUGAACCCAAGGAGUAUAUAGUAGCUAAAGUGUAGUGAAACUGCAAAAACAUUGAGAUCUUCAUUACUAUACUUUUGGAGUGAAUAAAGAAAAGUUAUGCACACAUUUCAAUAAUUAUGACAUAAUCGAACAUUUAUACGUCAAAUUUAUAGUAAUUGAGACCAUUAUUUCUUUUGGAAAAUGCAGAGGAUCUCUACUUAAACACUCAUAUGCAAAUGAGCGGAGCUAUUUAAUUCUCACCGCCAUGCAGUGGCAACUUUUGGGAAAUCCUCUGCACAAUCCAAAAAACCAUCCAUCAGCAACACAAUUGAAAAAACAAUCCUGAUGAUCACAGACCGAUCCAUCAGUUUGUACCACCAUCUCUGCAAUAAUUGAUCGAACAAAUAAUUUAACCAACACAACUUAAUUGAACAAAUUUCAUUAUUUAGUAAAAAAAAAAUUUACAUAUUAAUUAUUUCUAUGUUAUGCACUUAUAGUUAUGAUUGUAUGCACCAAUUAUUGUUAUAUAUGUUUUUGGGCUCCGCUAACUUGUGCCCUAAGGGCACAUUUUAAGGUGCAUUUAAUUAACUAGUAUUCCACUUAAUGUAUUUCAAAAAUAGUAAUAAUCAACUUUUGUGAUUAAAAGAUAUGAUCCACUAUGUUUAUUAAUUAUUUAAAUGAAUUUGAAAUACAAAUUAUGAUACUCUUACCAAAGAUCAUGAUGAUGCACGCGCCUGACUAAUUAUAUGUAUCCUUAAUAAAAAAAAUUAUAUGCAUCCAAAUUAUUUUUCAUUUGUUAACAAUUAGGCCUUUUAUUUUUUGCACAAAAACAAGAUGCUGACUUUAAGAUGGUAUACAUAAUCAUCUUCUAAAUCAUCUUCAAAAUCAAAGUUUGUAUACCAUCUACAAAAUCAGUAAAAUUUCCAACGUGUAAAAUUGAGGUGUAAAAUUCAUUGAAAAGCAAUUCAAAGAAGCUUUGUACCAAAAAUAGAAGCUUUGUACUACGUACCAAAAAAAAAUUGACCAACGCGUUUAUCAUCAUGAUCUUUGACAACAGUAUCAUAAUAUGUUUUUCAAAUUCAUUUAAAUAAUUAAUAAAUAUAGUGGACCAUAUCUUUUAAUUAAUAAAAUUUAUUAUUACUAUUUAUAAAAUAGUAAUAAAUAUGAUUGUAUGCACCAAUGAUUAUUAUAUGUUGUAAUGCCUUUAUGUCAAAAAUAACUAUUGUAGUAUGCAAAAUAUAUAAGACUUACGACAAGCAAGGAGAAUAAACAAAAUGAAGAACAAUCCAAAACGUGCCUUAUUCAUAAUUACCACUUACAACAAUCUUCACCUAAAUCUAUUAUAAUCUUCUUCUUUUUUUAAGAAGCUAAAUCUAUUACAAUCUUAAUUAAAUAACUCGCAUCGAGUUAUCUAUUUAUAGAUGUGGAGGAUAUAAAAAAUCAUUUAAUUUCUUUUUUGAAAAU
Molecule: long non-coding RNA, 2159 nt
Filed under: Trifolium pratense (red clover)
Lineage: Eukaryota; Viridiplantae; Streptophyta; Magnoliopsida; Fabales; Fabaceae
Description: long non-coding RNA (TPRA_LNC009243)
Source: RNAcentral